Molecule: ribosomal RNA, 477 nt
Filed under: uncultured bacterium
Lineage: Bacteria
Description: partial 16S ribosomal RNA
Rfam family: Bacterial small subunit ribosomal RNA
Source: RNAcentral
GAUGAACGCUGGCGGCGUGCCUAAUACAUGCAAGUCGAGCGAACAGACGAGGAGCUUGUUCCUCUGACGUUUGCCGCGCACGGGUGUGUAACACGUGUAUACCCCCCUUAUAAGUCUGGGAUAAUUUCGGAAAACCGGCGCUAAUCCCGGAUAAUAUAUUGAACCGCAUGGUUCAUUAGUGAAAGACGGUUUUUCCGUCGGUAGUAGAUGCAUUUGCGCUUCAUCAGCUUGUUGGUGAGGUAACGGCUUACCAAGGCAACGAGGGGUAGCGGGCCUGAGAGGGUGACCGGCGACACAGGGACUGAGGGACGGCAGAGACUGCUAAGGGUGGGAGAAGGGGGGAAUCUUGCAGAAUGGGCGGAAGCCGGAUGAUGAAACGCCGCGUGCGGGAAAACGGUCUUAGGGGUGUAAACCGAUUUCGUAUGUGACGAAGCGUGAGUGAAGGUAACGUGUAAAGAAGCACCGGCUAACUACGUG